GAUGAAAGAACGCAGCGAAAUGCGAUAAGUAAUGUGAAUUGCAGAAUUCAGUGAAUCAUCGAAUCUUUGAACGCAUCUUGCGCUCCUUGGUAUUCUGAGGAGCAUGCCUGUUUGAGUGUCAUUAAAUUCUCAACCACACUGAUUAUGAUUAGUGUGGCUUGGAUAUGGGUGUUGUGGGCUUCUGUAGUCCGCUCCCCUGAAAUUAAUUAGCAGUACUUUUGGUGGAACUGUCUACAGGUGUGAUAAUUAUCUACAUCCUAGACAUCUGCUGCACUGCUUUCCAAACUUGUAUUGACAAUCUUGACCUCAAAUCAGGUAGGACUACCCGCUGAACUUAAGCAUAUCAAUAAGCGGAGGA
RNAcentral lists this unclassified non-coding RNA (358 nucleotides) under soil metagenome. RNAcentral's name for it is "partial contains 5.8S ribosomal RNA, internal transcribed spacer 2, and large subunit ribosomal RNA". The stretch from base 6 to 121 matches the Rfam family "5.8S ribosomal RNA", at positions 39 to 154 of the family's 154-position model. The record is from RNAcentral.